RNAcentral lists this ribosomal RNA (387 nucleotides) under Triticum aestivum (bread wheat). RNAcentral describes it as "partial small subunit ribosomal RNA". The record is from RNAcentral. Lineage: Eukaryota; Viridiplantae; Streptophyta; Magnoliopsida; Poales; Poaceae.
AUGAUGAAUUCUAGGAAGGAUGCUCAUGCAAGGAAAGGCUAUGUUGUCUUAACAAGGAUGAAAAGUAUAACAACAUACACAAACCAACGUGGACAACCCAGAUCUGGUAAAUUGUUUAUGUCAUUUAAGUUGUCUCUAGCAUUUGCUAUAAUGCAUAAAAUCCUGGACAGAUGGGACCUGGAAGAUACACCAGAAACAGAAGAAAAAGUUCUCAAAAUUGUUAUCUCUAAGAUCACUCUUUGUCUACUAUGUGUUAAGAGAAACUUGGAAACUGGAGAAGAGCCGGAUUGGAUUGCUCUGUGGGAACACACCCACACAAAGAAUGGAACAUGGUCUAACAGAGUCCCAGGAUGUCUAUCAUGCUUCUUCAUCAGCUGGGAUUAUUAA